This 431-nucleotide small RNA is filed under the name Pongo abelii (Sumatran orangutan). Its description in RNAcentral is "processed transcript". Lineage: Eukaryota; Metazoa; Chordata; Mammalia; Primates; Hominidae. The record is from RNAcentral.
AUGUGUGGUUGGGGAAUUCAUGUGGAGGUCAGAGUGGAAGCAGUGGAUGCUGGGCACAGAGCUGUCAUCUUUGACCGAUUCCGUGGAGUGCAGGACAUUGUGGUAGGGGAAGGGACUCAUUUUCUCAUCCCAUGGGUACAGAAACCAAUUAUCUUUGACUGCCGUUCUCGACCACGUAAUGUGCCAGUCAUCACUGGUAGCAAAGAUUUACAGAAUGUCAACAUCACACUGCGCAUCCUCUUCCGGCCUGUCGCUAGCCAGCUUCCUCGCAUCUUCACCAGCAUCGGAGAGGACUAUGAUGAGCGUGUGCUGCCGUCCAUCACGACCGAGAUCCUCAAGUCAGUGGUGGCUCGUUUUGAUGCUGGAGAACUAAUCACCCAGAGAGAGCUGGUUUCCAGGCAGGUGAGCGAUGACCUUACGGAGCGAGCCGC